This 24-nucleotide non-coding RNA is filed under the name Arabidopsis thaliana (thale cress). Lineage: Eukaryota; Viridiplantae; Streptophyta; Magnoliopsida; Brassicales; Brassicaceae. The record is from RNAcentral.
UGGCUAAACCAAUAAUAUCUGAUG